GCCAGACUCCUACGGGAGGCAGCAGUGGGGAAUAUUGCACAAUGGGGGAAACCCUGAUGCAGCGACGCCGCGUGGGUGAAGAAGUAUUUCGGUAUGUAAAGCUCUAUCAGCAGGGAAGAAAAUGACGGUACCUGACUAAGAAGCCCCGGCUAACUACGUGCCAGCAGCCGCGGUAAUACGUAGGGGGCAAGCGUUAUCCGGAUUUACUGGGUGUAAAGGGAGCGUAGGUGGCGUGUCAAGUCAGGAGUGAAAAACCAGGGCCCAACCUUGGGACUGCUCUUGAAACUGGCAGGCUUGAGUGCUGGAGAGGUAAGCGGAAUUCCUAGUGUAGCGGUGAAAUGCGUAGAUAUUAGGAGGAACACCAGUGGCGAAGGCGGCUUACUGGACGGUGACUGACACUGAGGCUCGAAAGCGUGGGGAGCAAACAGGAUUAGAUACCCCCGUAUC
RNAcentral lists this ribosomal RNA (447 nucleotides) under uncultured bacterium. RNAcentral's name for it is "partial 16S ribosomal RNA". It matches the Rfam family "Bacterial small subunit ribosomal RNA", at positions 330 to 794 of the family's 1533-position model. The record is from RNAcentral.